AAUGGGGGCAACCCUGAUCCAGCCAUGCCGCGUGAGUGAAGAAGGCCUUCGGGUUGUAAAGCUCUUUCGACGGGGACGAUGAUGACGGUACCCGUAUAAGAAGCCCCGGCAAACUUCGUGCCAGCAGCCGCGGUAAUACGAAGGGGGCUAGCGUUGUUCGGAAUUACUGGGCGUAAAGCGCGCGUAGGCGGUGAUCCAUGUCAGAGGUGAAAGCCUGGAGCUCAACUCCAGAAUUGCCUUUGAAACGGGAUCGCUAGAGUCCGAGAGAGGAUGGCGGAAUUCCUAGUGUAGAGGUGAAAUUCGUAGAUAUUAGGAAGAACACCGGUGGCGAAGGCGGCCAUCUGGCUCGGUACUGACGCUCAGGCGCGAAAGCGUGGGGAGCAAA
Molecule: ribosomal RNA, 385 nt
Filed under: uncultured bacterium
Lineage: Bacteria
Description: bacterial SSU rRNA
Rfam family: Bacterial small subunit ribosomal RNA
Source: RNAcentral